This 562-nucleotide ribosomal RNA is filed under the name uncultured endolithic bacterium. RNAcentral describes it as "bacterial SSU rRNA". It matches the Rfam family "Bacterial small subunit ribosomal RNA", at positions 356 to 930 of the family's 1533-position model. The record is from RNAcentral.
GGGGAAUUUUCCGCAAUGGGCGAAAGCCUGACGGAGCAAUACCGCGUGAGGGAAGAAGGCUCUUGGGUUGUAAACCUCUUUUCUUAGGGAAGAAAAAAAUGACGGUACCUAAGGAAUAAGCAUCGGCUAACUCCGUGCCAGCAGCCGCGGUAAUACGGAGGAUGCAAGCGUUAUCCGGAAUGAUUGGGCGUAAAGCGUCCGCAGGUGGCAUUUCAAGUCUGCGGUUAAAGGUUCUGGCUCAACCAGAGACAGGCCGUGGAAACUGAAAAGCUAGAGUAAGGUAGGGGCAGAGGGAAUUCCCAGUGUAGCGGUGAAAUGCGUAGAGAUUGGGAAGAACACCGGUGGCGAAAGCGCUCUGCUAGGCCAAAACUGACACUGAGGGACGAAAGCUAGGGGAGCGAAUGGGAUUAGAUACCCYAGUAGUCCUAGCCGUAAACGAUGGAUACUAGGUGUAGCUUGUAUCGAYYYAAGCUGUGCCGUAGCUAACGCGUUAAGUAUCCCGCCNUGGGGAGUACGCGCGCAAGCGUGAAACUCAAAGGAAUUGACGGGGGCCCGCACAAGC